RNAcentral lists this transfer RNA (69 nucleotides) under Dendrogale murina (Northern smooth-tailed tree shrew). RNAcentral describes it as "tRNA-Phe". Lineage: Eukaryota; Metazoa; Chordata; Mammalia; Scandentia; Tupaiidae. The record is from RNAcentral.
GUUAGCGUAGCUUAUCAACAUAAAGCAAGGCACUGAAAAUGCCUAGAUGAGCUUACAGCUCCGCAAACA